Molecule: transfer RNA, 71 nt
Organism: Loxodonta africana (African savanna elephant)
Lineage: Eukaryota; Metazoa; Chordata; Mammalia; Proboscidea; Elephantidae
Rfam family: tRNA
About the family: Transfer RNA (tRNA) molecules are approximately 80 nucleotides in length.
Source: Rfam
GCAGUGAUGGUUCAGUGGUAGAAUUCUUGCUUUCCACGUGGGAGACCCAGGUUAGAUUCCUGGCCAAUGCA